UUGACCAACGAGUCGUCUCUGUACGUUCGUACGUUCCGUUGCAUGUGUGCAACCACAAAUGCGCGAACGUCAAUGUAUUGCAAACGAAGUAGAGGCGUCUAGACGCUAAUUAAGUAGAGAAAAUUCAAUAUUCCUAAUACUCGUAGUGGAACGAAAACUAUUUCAAGUAUUUGGUCUUCGUUACGGCACGAAAGAAAACUUGCGCGCUUGACGGAACUGGGAAAGUCGAGUGUUCAAUGUCAUUCGAAAAUGGCAAUGAGAAAACUAAUUUUCCGGCACGAAAACACAUUCCGUAACUUUCAGCCGAAAUGUACGGUCCAGCGGUCACAUAAUCUUGAUUUUCGGACGAGAGCUACGCGUGUGCUGUCAGUGCUGUUUUGCCGAUUCGAUUAUUCAGAUUCAAAUAAAUAUUUUGUUUUUUUACACAUCCAUGGAAACUAACGGAGUUGGAAGAAAAGUGAGGUUAGAGCGACGGAUCGGGUUCGUGAAAACCCGAAGUGUUAUUCCUUAAAAAAGUUUCGAUCUCCGCUCGAGAGGCCAAGAUCUAUACGUUUAUCGUAGAAAUGAUUGUAUCGAGAAGAAAGCGUCUCACAAUUCAAGGAUUCACACAAAUAAUGCUGGUCGACUGAGAAGUGAGGUUAGGAACGAAGAAUACUGAAUUGAGAAUCCGAGGACUGCUGUCGUAGCGCCACGGAACGUCGUACAGCUGCACCUUCGGCACGAGGGGUCGAUCGAUUAGUCAAACGCUCAAAUGUACGACAAACGGUAUGAAUUGUGUACCAAGAUUGGACAAGGCCAGAGAGAACGAUCGAUUCGUUCGGAAGGAAAUAAUGGAAGGACUUUGCCGAGGAUUUACGUGUCGCGUAUCACGGAUUCUUUCGUGUCAAUCUACCGUAUAACCUCGAAAUUCUCGGUUUAUUUAAUUAACGAUCUUACACUACUUUUUUUCCGGCUGCAGAGAAUAAAUGUGGAAUAAAUGUGAAUUCACGACAUUC
Venturia canescens is the source of this 995-nucleotide long non-coding RNA. RefSeq lists it as uncharacterized. The transcript has 2 exons. Lineage: Eukaryota; Metazoa; Arthropoda; Insecta; Hymenoptera; Ichneumonidae. The record is from RefSeq and is a predicted model, not a curated record.